ACCCACAUAAAGCAAGGCCGUUAACACUACUCACGAGUUGCGCGCGUAUGGGUGCGAGCCCCAACGAGCUACUCGCCGUUCUAUGGGACCCCACGUGUCCCCUCCACGGUUGCCGGGGGGAGGAGGGGAGGGGCGGGCCGACGACGUGCCCCUCUGAUAUACGCUACCUGCAUAUACCGGCAUGUACCUGUAUAUGCCUUCAUAUUACCAUACAUCACGUGUACGUGUACGUGUAAGAUGAACCAGAGAAGAUGGACUUGUUAGAUGCGUAAGACAAGUGGACCUGUAUGUCGAAAUGCGUGUGCGUGCACGAGAGAGCUUGAGAGUCUGUAUACAGGUCUGAAUCUGUUCCUAACUACGUAAAUAAUUAACCGUUGAUAGAGAGAGGUGGAGAAAUAUUAUUAUGACCUGAAAUAUUAUUAUGUUUACUGAUGCAAUCAUGUUAUACGGAUUAAUAGAGAGUAAAGGGGGGGAUGGAAAGCGAAGGAAAAAAAAUUAGUUGUUUUCAAAUAUUUCUAUGUUAUCUAUUCGAUUAUGCUUGUAUGCUUGUCAUAAGCUCUCACUAGAUUUCAAUAUCCAUAUUCAAUGAAGGUGAUUAUUUGUUAAAAAUGUGUACAAGCAAUAUUUGGCGUUAAAAAAAUUUUAUCGAAGAAAUGUUCCAAAGAACAGAAGAGAAAAUCAGUGUCACUGUUUGUAUUUAUCGAAAAGCAAAGUAAUAAAGGAUACGUAUACCGAAAGUUAAGCGAGAGAAAAAAGUUAGGUCCUGGGUCCUGUUCGUGUAGUACUUAUGUAGCAUUUAUAGCGUGCGCGCUGAAUGCACAUCCGUAUACGAGUGUGUGCGUGACUGGACAAGUUAGUAGGUCACACGGAUUCAAGAAUAUAUCAGUGGGCGUGAGUCGUACACACUAAUAUCCAACAUUAUCGUAUACCCAUGGAGAACUGUGACUUCAAACGCGGCUUCACAAGGUACCUUGAUCUUGACUAGAUGCAAGGUCCAUUUCGCUGUCGUCGUACGUUCAAUAAGGCAUUGCUCCUAUUUGCUUUCGCAUUGUUUGCAUUACUGCCGCGUAUUAAACGGAUUUCAUGCGUAGCUAGACUUUAAAUAGGGAAAGUUUUAAAACUUAUUAUAUAUUUACAAAUUUUCCGUUAAAUCUAUUCGUAUAAUGUA
Molecule: long non-coding RNA, 1168 nt
Organism: Apis laboriosa (Himalayan honeybee)
Lineage: Eukaryota; Metazoa; Arthropoda; Insecta; Hymenoptera; Apidae
Exons: 3
Source: RefSeq, a predicted model, not a curated record